CCACACCAAUAAAAUUUCUUGUUCGAUGGACCCGCGCGCUCGUAUUUUAGAGAAACGUAAAAAAUAAUAUUAUUUUAAAUUUCCCGCUUCCGGAAAUUUUCGUUCCAUUUCCCGCCCCAUUUUUCAUUUUAUUUUAAAUACUCGAUCAUUUCUGAGUUUGAAAUUUCAGUAGGAAAUAUUACAUGUUGGGAAAAACCAAGACAACAUUUAUCAAUUUGCACGAGAAAGGACACUUGACACUCGGAUGUAUUGACUAUUGUUCAGAUAUGACGGUAUUUGUCGUUGAAACUCGGCGCGUACAGGUGAUCAGUGCGAAACCACCCGCAUUUGUCAUUAGCUCUAAUGAUGCACAGUUGCACAACUUUUUAAACCAUGCUUUGAGAGUUACGGCGUGGAAACAAGUAAACUUUAUAACUCCGUGAUAAACAGCAAAGAUUGGGUAGAGUAGAUCUGUUAUGUUUUAGCAGAGGACCACCAUGGAUAUAAAUCAAAUUUUGGAAUCUGCCUAAAUGGAGACUGCUAAGCUUCUUGAUUUAUUUACUUUGGAUGAUGAGUGUUGAAGCCCUAGAUCCAGCAGGAUUUGGUGGAGUUUUUUUCUGAAUUUCUGCAGUGGAAUGAUAAACUGGACUAGAACUUUUUAUCUGUUUAUAUAGUGAAUAAGUGCAGACAUUGUUAUUCAAGAAGGUCUUCAGUUGAACCACAGUGAAUGCACACUGUAGGUAGAUAUUUCCAUGAAGCCAUAAAAUUGUUUCCACAGACAAUUCUUUCACAGAUUCUUUGUUUACAUGUACUAAUUCCAUGCUGUCCUGGACCAACCAGAAGAAUUCAAAAUAUCCAUCUACCUUAAUUUGCCGAAGUAGCUACCCAUAAUUUGAAUAAUAUUUAAACAUCUUGAUACUUUAUUUCAAAUUCUCUAUAAGUCAACCCUUGAAAAAAAAACAAUUUUGAUUAUAAUUCAUAUUUGUUGAACCUUGUUAUUCUGAGCUCUGUGUCACUGUCAAUCAUAUUUUAUUAUAAAUUUGUGAAUUACCAUAUGUAAUGAUAACUUAUCACUGCUGGCAUUAAUUGUAAAUGAUAAAAAGUAAUGGGACAUACUUGUCUUGUCGAUGGUUCUAUUAUGUCUGAUUUUUUUAAUUAUGUGAAUUUUGGGACCAUGUUUAGCUUCUGAUAUUGUGCAUAAAUACAGAACAGCAGUGCUGUUGGAAUUGACCAGUUUCAGAUGAUUGUAUAAGUUUUGAUCACAUCACAUUUUGUGAAUACUGUUUUGAAAUAUAUGUUAAAGAUGGAGGUAAACACUUAUUUAAACAGUGAUAAAUCUCAUAAAUGUACAAGCAAAUCAUGUACAGGGCAAAAUAAAGCCCUGAAAACAUCAAAGGUUUGAGAUUCAUAGGAGAGUUAAUCUUUUAUGUCAUUAGCAGAUUUAUUUACAGAAUUUUGUACCUUUAUGAAAUAAACAACCUGUGUCAAAUGUCCUUAUAAUGCUCUAAACAUGUAAAGGAAUCAGAACGUUUUUUAAAAUUGUUUUUUUAACAUAUGGAGUAAAGUCAUUAUGUAAUUAAAAAGUGAGAAAACAUA
Molecule: long non-coding RNA, 1575 nt
Organism: Saccostrea cuccullata (small rock oyster)
Lineage: Eukaryota; Metazoa; Mollusca; Bivalvia; Ostreida; Ostreidae
Exons: 2
Source: RefSeq, a predicted model, not a curated record